RNAcentral lists this ribosomal RNA (1447 nucleotides) under uncultured organism. Its description in RNAcentral is "SSU rRNA". It matches the Rfam family "Bacterial small subunit ribosomal RNA". The record is from RNAcentral.
UGAACGCUAGCUACAGGCUUAACACAUGCAAGUCGAGGGGCAUCAGGAAGAAAGCUUGCUUUCUUUGCUGGCGACCGGCGCACGGGUGAGUAACACGUAUCCAACCUGCCCUUUACUCGGGGAUAGCCUUUCGAAAGAAAGAUUAAUACCCGAUAGCAUAAUGAUUCCGCAUGGUUUCAUUAUUAAAGGAUUCCGGUAAAGGAUGGGGAUGCGUUCCAUUAGGUUGUUGGUGAGGUAACGGCUCACCAAGCCUUCGAUGGAUAGGGGUUCUGAGAGGAAGGUCCCCCACAUUGGAACUGAGACACGGUCCAAACUCCUACGGGAGGCAGCAGUGAGGAAUAUUGGUCAAUGGGCGCUAGCCUGAACCAGCCAAGUAGCGUGAAGGAUGAAGGCUCUAUGGGUCGUAAACUUCUUUUAUAUAAGAAUAAAGUGCAGUAUGUAUACUGUUUUGUAUGUAUUAUAUGAAUAAGGAUCGGCUAACUCCGUGCCAGCAGCCGCGGUAAUACGGAGGAUCCGAGCGUUAUCCGGAUUUAUUGGGUUUAAAGGGAGCGUAGGUGGACUGGUAAGUCAGUUGUGAAAGUUUGCGGCUCAACCGUAAAAUUGCAGUUGAUACUGUCAGUCUUGAGUACAGUAGAGGUGGGCGGAAUUCGUGGUGUAGCGGUGAAAUGCUUAGAUAUCACGAAGAACUCCGAUUGCGAAGGCAGCUCACUGGACUGCAACUGACACUGAUGCUCGAAAGUGUGGGUAUCAAACAGGAUUAGGUACCCUGGUAGUCCACACAGUAAACGAUGAAUACUCGCUGUUUGCGAUAUACAGUAAGCGGCCAAGCGAAAGCAUUAAGUAUUCCACCUGGGGAGUACGCCGGCAACGGUGAAACUCAAAGGAAUUGACGGGGGCCCGCACAAGCGGAGGAACAUGUGGUUUAAUUCGAUGAUACGCGAGGAACCUUACCCGGGCUUAAAUUGCAGUGGAAUGAUGUGGAAACAUGUCAGUGAGCAAUCACCGCUGUGAAGGUGCUGCAUGGUUGUCGUCAGCUCGUGCCGUGAGGUGUCGGCUUAAGUGCCAUAACGAGCGCAACCCUUAUCCUCAGUUACUAACAGGUCAUGCUGAGGACUCUGGAGAGACUGCCGUCGUAAGAUGUGAGGAAGGUGGGGAUGACGUCAAAUCAGCACGGCCCUUACGUCCGGGGCUACACACGUGUUACAAUGGGGGGUACAGAAGGCAGCUAGCGGGUGACCGUAUGCUAAUCCCAAAAGCCUCUCUCAGUUCGGAUCGAAGUCUGCAACCCGACUUCGUGAAGCUGGAUUCGCUAGUAAUCGCGCAUCAGCCACGGCGCGGUGAAUACGUUCCCGGGCCUUGUACACACCGCCCGUCAAGCCAUGGGAGCCGGGGGUACCUGAAGUACGUAACCGCAAGGAUCGUCCUAGGGUAAAACUGGUGACUGGGG